Molecule: ribosomal RNA, 513 nt
Filed under: uncultured bacterium
Lineage: Bacteria
Description: bacterial SSU rRNA
Rfam family: Bacterial small subunit ribosomal RNA
Source: RNAcentral
GACGAACGCUGGCGGCGUGGAUUAGGCAUGCAAGUCGAACGGUAUCAUCCUUUCGGGGGUGAGAGAGUGGCGAACUGGUGAGUAACACGUAGGUUAUCUACCCUCAAGACGGGGACAACCCAGGGAAACUUGGGCUAAUACCGGAUGUGAGCAACUUUUAGUUGUUUGAAAGGUGGCGUAAGCUGUCGCUUGGGGAUGAGCCUGCGUCCUAUUAGUUAGUUGGUGAGGUAACGGCUCACCUAGGCAAUGAUAGGUAGGCGGCCUUAACGGGUGGUCGCCCACACUGGGAUUGAGAUACGGCCCAGACUCCUACGGGAGGCAGCAGUCGAGAAUAGUCUACAAUGGUCGGAAGACUGAUAGUGCGACGCCGCGUGAACGAUGAAUCCCUUCGGGGUGUAAAGUUCUUUUAUAUGUGAGCAGUGCUUCUUAUAUUAACAGUAUGGGGAGAGAGAUAUUAGCAUAUGAAUAAGCAACGGCUAACUCCGUGCCCAGCAGCCGACGGUAAACUCGUUA